This 460-nucleotide ribosomal RNA is filed under the name uncultured bacterium. RNAcentral's name for it is "partial 16S ribosomal RNA". It matches the Rfam family "Bacterial small subunit ribosomal RNA", at positions 338 to 795 of the family's 1533-position model. The record is from RNAcentral.
CCUACGGGAGGCAGCAGUGAGGAAUAUUGGUCAAUGGGCUUACGCCUGAACCAGCCAAGUCGCGUGAGGGAAGACUGCCCUAUGGGUUGUAAACCUCUUUUGUCAGGGAGCAACGCCGGCUACGUGAAGCCGUACUGAGAGUACCUGAAGUAAAAGCAUCGGCUAACUCCGUGCCAGCAGCCGCGGUAAUCCGGAGGAUGGGAGCGUUAUCCGGAUUUAUUGGGUUUAAAGGGUGCGUAGGCGGAAUGCCAAGUCAGCGGUAAAAUCGCGGGGCUCAACCUCGCUCCGCCGUUGAAACUGGCGUUCUUGAGUGGGCGAGAAGUAUGCGGAAUGCGUGGUGUAGCGGUGAAAUGCAUAGAUAUCACGCAGAACUCCGAUUGCGAAGGCAGCAUACCGGCGCCCAACUGACGCUGAAGCACGAAAGCGUGGGUAUCGAACAGGAUUAGAUACCCGAGUAGUC